Molecule: ribosomal RNA, 541 nt
Filed under: uncultured bacterium
Lineage: Bacteria
Description: bacterial SSU rRNA
Rfam family: Bacterial small subunit ribosomal RNA
Source: RNAcentral
UUUGCACAAUGCNGCGAAAGCCUGNUGCAGCAACGCCGCGUGCGCGAAGAAGGUCUUCGGAUCGUAAAGCGCUUUUCGGGGAGAUGAGGAAGGACAGUAUCCCCGGAAUAAGGCUCGGCUAACUACGUGCCAGCAGCCGCGGUAAAACGUAGGAGCCAAGCGUUAUCCGAAUUCACNUGGGCGUAAAGCGCGUGCAGGCGGUCUGGUAAGUUGGAUGUGAAAUCUCCUGGCUCAACUGGGAGAGGCCGUUCAAUACUGUCAGACUAGAGGGCGACAGAGGGAGGUAGAAUUCCGGGUGUAGUGGUGAAAUGCGUAGAUAUCCGGAGGAAUACCAGAGGCGAAGGCGACCUCCUGGGUCGCACCUGACGCUCAGACGCGAAAGCUAGGGGAGCGAACGGGAUUAGAAACCCCGGUAGUCCUAGCCGUAAACGAUGUAGACUGGGUGUUGGCGGGGUAAAAGCCGUCAGUGCCGAAGCAAACGCGAUAAGUCUACCGCCUGGGGACUACGGCCGCAAGGUUAAAACUCAAAAGAAUUGACGGA